This 75-nucleotide transfer RNA is filed under the name Comamonadaceae bacterium. RNAcentral describes it as "tRNA-Gln". The record is from RNAcentral. Lineage: Bacteria; Pseudomonadati; Pseudomonadota; Betaproteobacteria; Burkholderiales; Comamonadaceae.
UCAUUGAUGGUUUAGGGGUAACGAUUAUGGCUCUGGCCCAUGAUGAAUUGCUGGGUGGCAAGCCGGUCCGAUGAA